RNAcentral lists this ribosomal RNA (814 nucleotides) under uncultured archaeon. Its description in RNAcentral is "bacterial SSU rRNA". It matches the Rfam family "Archaeal small subunit ribosomal RNA", at positions 55 to 870 of the family's 1478-position model. The record is from RNAcentral.
GAGUUAUGGGUUCUUCGUGAACCCGGCAAACUGCUCAGUAACACGUGGACAACCUGCCCUUGGGAUCGGUAUAACCCCGGGAAACUGGGGAUAAUACCGAAUAGGUCAUAGGUGCUGGAAUGCCCUACGACUUAAAAGCAUUUGCGCCUAAGGAUGGGUCUGCGGCCGAUUAGGUUGUUGCUAGGGUAACGACCUAGCAAGCCUAUAAUCGGUACGGGCUCUGAGAGGAGGAGCCUGGAGACGGACUCUGAGACACGAGUCCGGGCCCUACGGGGCGCAGCAGGCGCGGAACCUUUACAAUGUGCGAAAGCACGAUAAGGGAAUCCCAAGUGCCAGCGCACUGCGUUGGCUGUUCUCCAGCCUAAAGAGUUGGUGGUAGUAAGGACCGGGCAAGACCGGUGCCAGCCGCCGCGGUAACACCGGCGGUCCAAGUGGUGGCCACUUUUAUUGGGCCUAAAGCGUCCGUAGCCGGCUAGGUAAGUCCCUUAGGAAAUCUGGUGGCUUAACCAUCAGGCGACUAAGGGAAACUACCUGGCUUGGGACCGGGAGAGGUUCCGGGUACCCCAGGGGUAGGGGUGAAAUCCUGUAAUCCCUGGGAGACCACCUGUGGCUCAAGCUCGGAACUAGAACGGGUCCGACGGUGAGGGACGAAAGCCAGGGGCACAAACCGGAUUAGAUACCCGGGUAGUCCUGGCCGUCAACGAUGCCCGCUAGGUGUAGGCCGUAGCACGUCUGCGGCCUGUGCCCUAGUGAAGACGUUAAGCGGGCCGCCUGGGAAGUACGUCCGCAAGGAUGAAACUUAAAGGAAUUGGCG